CUGUGUAUAUCUCAGUGGUACAGUGUGUGCCUGGCACGUACAAGGUUCUGGGUUCUAUCCCCAGCACCUUGA
Molecule: transfer RNA, 72 nt
Filed under: Heterocephalus glaber (naked mole-rat)
Lineage: Eukaryota; Metazoa; Chordata; Mammalia; Rodentia; Bathyergidae
Rfam family: tRNA
About the family: Transfer RNA (tRNA) molecules are approximately 80 nucleotides in length.
Source: Rfam by way of RNAcentral